RNAcentral lists this unclassified non-coding RNA (338 nucleotides) under soil metagenome. RNAcentral describes it as "partial contains 5.8S ribosomal RNA, internal transcribed spacer 2, and large subunit ribosomal RNA". The stretch from base 1 to 119 matches the Rfam family "5.8S ribosomal RNA", at positions 35 to 154 of the family's 154-position model. The record is from RNAcentral.
GAUGAAAACGCAGCGAAAUGCGAUAAGUAGUGUGAAUUGCAGAAUUCAGUGAAUCAUCGAAUCUUUGAACGCACAUUGCACCUCUCGGUAUUCCGGGAGGUAUGCCUGUUCGAGCGUCAUUUGUACCCUCAAGCUCUGCUUGGUGUUGGGUGUUUGUUCCGCCUCUGUGUGUGAACUCGCCUCAAAACAAUUGGCAGCCGGCGUACUUGUUUCGGAGCGCAGCACAUUUUGCGAUCCAGAUCAACGUACAGCGGCAUCCAAGAAGCCUUAUUUAACGCUCUUGACCUCGGAUCAGGUAGGGAUACCCGCUGAACUUAAGCAUAUCAAUAAGCGGAGGA